AAAAAGUUACUGCUUUCUGGCUGGGCGCAGUGGCUCAUUUUCUUGUUUUUAUCUUGUCUCUCCAGUAAGAGUGUAAGCUCCUAGAGGACAGGGACCAUCCUAUAUUUCUUUCAUAUGCCCUACUAUACAUGGCAUAGUUCUGGGCUUUUAUUCAUUAAUUUAAUAAGCAUUUCUUAAUGAAUAUUUAAUGUACAAUAUUAUGUCAUGGGAUAUAAUAAUUAAUAAGACAAGGUCUUUAAUAGUGUUGAGGCACCUCCAUCCUAAUGCGAGCUAAAGAUACUAGUAUUUAGUAUUUCACUUAGUGCUAUGGAAGACUUUGUAGCAGAUGAUUAAUAUUCUCAGAUCUAUUAAUUACAUAAAUCUGGGCUCUAAGCAGAGUAUGAGCAGGGUGAGUGCCUGGCAAUAAGGGCUCCCAGUCUGCAGCAAUAUCUGAGGUGAGACAUGAUAAAGGACUGAACUAAAGCCCUAGAAAUAGAGUGGGGAUGGAUUCAAGAAGCACUGUGGAAAUGAAAAUCAAAGGGAUUGUGAUGGCUCCAACAUAGAAUAUGAGGUGUAGAAGACAAGGAUGUUCAGGAUGAUUCUGGCCUCUUGUCUGAGUAUUGGUUUAAUAAUAUAAGCCAUUUAGGAAAUAAGAGCCAUGAGGAGAAAAAGCCAGUUUGGAGAUUAAGAUGCCCCUGGGACCUCCAGAAGGAGAUCCCUGUGAAUGGCUGGAAAUUCAGGUCUGGGGCCUAAGGAUUGGAAUUUGGACUAGAGAGAGAAAAAACUGGAAAUUUUAGCAAAUAGUGGUUGUUGAAGCCAUGGGAAUAGAAGAGAUCAGGAUGUGGAAAGAUGAGAAGUAUAAAGUACCUGAGACAGAAAUGUUCAGAGAAGUUAGAGGAGAUGCAGGAAUCAGCAGGCCCCCAGUGUCAGUGUCCAGCAAUAUUAAUGCUGCAGUGAGACCAAUUUGCCAUUAUGUGUUGAAUUCAGCGUUUGAGAGAGUAUUGAAAAGGUGGUCCCUGGCUCAAUAAAUAGCGAUCAGAAUGAAUUGAAUAGAGGGCAAGAAAGGGUCUUUGAAGAUGAAAUAGGGCCUUUUUUUUUUUUUUUUUUUGAGACAGUGUCUUGCUCUGUCGCCCAGGCUGGAGUGCAGUGGCGCAUCUCAGCUCACUGCAACCUCCACCUCUAGGGUUCAAGUGAU
Molecule: long non-coding RNA, 1174 nt
Filed under: Homo sapiens (human)
Lineage: Eukaryota; Metazoa; Chordata; Mammalia; Primates; Hominidae
Description: HSALNT0276024
Source: RNAcentral